CCUACGGGAGGCAGCAGUGGGGGAUAUUGCACAAUGGGGGAAACCCUGAUGCAGCGACGCCGCGUGUGGGAAGACGGUCCUCUGGAUUGUAAACCACUGUCCCCAGGGACGAAGAUGACGGUACCUGGGGAGGAAGCUCCGGCUAACUACGUGCCAGCAGCCGAGGUAAUACGUAGGGGGCGAGCGUUGUCCGGAAUUAUGGGGUGUAAAGGGAGCGUAGGCGGGACUGCAAGUUGGGGGUCAAAUCUACGGGGUCAAUGGGUAGCCGCACUGGAAACUGGAGUUCUUGAGUGACGUGGAGGCAGGAGGAAUGCGUGGUGUAGCGGUGAAAUGCGUAGAUAUGAGGAGGAACACCGGUGGCGAAGGCGGCCUGCUGGGCUUUUACUGACGCUGAGGCGCGAAAGUGUGGGGAGCAAACAGGAUUAGAUACCCGUGUAGUC
This 440-nucleotide ribosomal RNA is filed under the name uncultured bacterium. Its description in RNAcentral is "partial 16S ribosomal RNA". It matches the Rfam family "Bacterial small subunit ribosomal RNA", at positions 338 to 795 of the family's 1533-position model. The record is from RNAcentral.